CACGUAGUUAGCCGGUGCUUAUUCUUACGGUACCGUCAUGACCCCAGGGUAUUAACCCAGGGCUUUUCGUUCCGUACAAAAGCAGCUUACAACCCGAAGGCCUUCAUCCUGCACGCGGCAUUGCUGGAUCAGGCUUGCGCCCAUUGUCCAAAAUUCCCCACUGCUGCCUCCCGUAGGAGUCUGGGCCGUGUCUCAGUCCCAGUGUGGCUGAUCGUCCUCUCAGACCAGCUACAGAUCGUCGGCUUGGUAAGCUUUUAUCCCACCAACUACCUAAUCUGCCAUCGGCCGCUCUAGUAGCACAAGGUCUUGCGAUCCCCUGCUUUCAUCCGUAGAUCUCAUGCGGUAUUAGCCACUCUUUCGAGUAGUUAUCCCCCACUACUAGGCACGUUCCGAUGUAUUACUCACCCGUUCGCCACUCGUCAGCAUCCGAAGACCUGUUACCGUUCGACUUGCUAUGUGUAAGGCAUCGCCGCCAGCGUUCAAUCUGAGCCAGGA
RNAcentral lists this ribosomal RNA (495 nucleotides) under uncultured Comamonas sp. Its description in RNAcentral is "partial 16S ribosomal RNA". Lineage: Bacteria; Pseudomonadati; Pseudomonadota; Betaproteobacteria; Burkholderiales; Comamonadaceae. The record is from RNAcentral.